Molecule: long non-coding RNA, 1773 nt
Organism: Corvus hawaiiensis (hawaiian crow)
Lineage: Eukaryota; Metazoa; Chordata; Aves; Passeriformes; Corvidae
Exons: 3
Source: RefSeq, a predicted model, not a curated record
UGCCCAGCAUCCGAGCAACAGGACCGCGAAUGCCUGACAGCAGCAGCGCCACCGCUCCGCGAUUUGCGCUCUGGCCACUGAAGCCCCACACGGCCGGGACAAGCAUGAGGCGGUGGCACCCACGGAAGGCGUGACGUCGUGGCCUGCGGAGCCCAGGAUGGACGCUUGGAGCACGUCCAUCAGAGCACCAAGGACCUCUGCAGGAGCCACAGCCCUAAAGACUCACGAUGGCACCGAACACCUCUGCGCUCUGUUAACCUCACAGCUCUCAACUGGCCCCAGGACAGGAUGAGGCACUCAGUUCUGCAGCUUGCUCCCAUUCACACCUGGUUCUGUCAUCACUGGCCUCAUUAGUGAGAUCUGGGCCCACCAUUAAGGAUCAGUAUGAAAGUUCUACCAGCAUCAGUCUUCAGAAUCAUUUUCAGAAGCUGUUGGAACAACACAGUGUAAUCGGAAGCCUUGACAAAGAUCUGUGAAAUUAAAGCACUUUAGGGUGAGUAGAGGACAUAAAGGUGACCUUAUAAUAUUAAAUAGCAGACUGUAGCACCCACCCAAACCUUUAAAGAGUCAAAUUCUAAAUUUCUCAAAGCACACGUUUCAAUUAGUACAAGGAGCAAGGGCUGGGGAAGUUCUGGAGCGGUCAAACAUGCUGUCCAGAUUUGGAUCGCCUCCUUCGCCUCCACACUGAUGGACAGAAGCUACCCCUCUGUAUGGCAUACAUUUUAUACCGUGUGUGUAACUAUAGGGUGGCUUGAAAGCACUUUUUUCCUGAAUUCUUAUAAUUCUGCAGGCAGCACUGUUACUGAUACAGGAUGAUAGUGAUACAGCCUCUUCACCAAAACAGAAAAGGAAAGAUUCAGUCCUCAGUAAAAGUACAAUUUUAAAAGUGACUAUGUCUGUGCAUGUCAGUUUUCCAACCCAUAGCUUGGCUGAGCAAAUGAACGCUUAGGAAAAUCUAAGAAUGUUCAGAUGUUUAAAAAUUUAUUUAGAGACAGAUAAGAGGCAUACUUGUUUCUUGUUAUUUCAGCCAUUAGCAUAAGAAGGGUAAUGUUGUCUAAGUACUGAGGGCUUUUAGCAUCAUCCUAAAUGAUGCAAGUGCAAUGUAAGAUGUGUGCUGCAUAUAGACCCACCAAGAAUUAUUUCAGCUAAUUCCAUUCCUUUAUUGGAAAGUGAACAGAGGAGUAGCUCUGCUAAAGGAAAGAUGGAGCAGAAAAAUCUAAUUGAAGCAAAGUGGGAUGUAAAGUAUCGUGCAGCAUUAGUAGCUGUAUGCCAGUCCAAGUGAAACUGCUGACUGUAACUCGCUCUUACAUAUCGCAAUCCAAUGUGUUCCUAGCAAGGUCUUGCUAUAAAGAGGCUUGGCUAAUGCCCUUCUUAUUUUCCACAAGUCUUUCAGGGCAAUGGUUUCAAGAAAUACUGCCAAAUACCCAUACAUGUCUUCAGACUUCUCUCCCAAAUAAUUCUUUAGCUUUCUUAUUCUCUUAGUCUCAGCACUGAAGCCUUUUAAAAAUUCAUCUCACUUUGUGUCCCAGCCAAAGUCCCUGAUUUUCUCUCCCCGCUUCACUACAUCAUUGUCAUCUCCUUGCCAAGAACUCAGAAGAAACAUUAUUUUUAUUUUUACAGGUUUCUUUCACUUCUAAUUCUAAAAACUCCUCAAAGCUGAAAUUCUUUUCAGCCUUUUGUGACUUUCAAUUUCACUUAUUCUCACUUAUGCUACGUCCUCUCCCUUUUUUCUUUCAACUUUUCCUUUCCUUUCCUUUCCUUUCCUUUCCUUUC